GCAGCUCGUAACACACGUCUGUCCUUGUGCACCUUAUUCACCAGGUUUGGCACCGUGUGACUUCCGGCUCUUCCCCAAAGUCAAAGUGACCACAAAAGAGAAGUGGUUUGAACUGAUUCAGGACAUCAAGGCAGCCGGGACGGCACAACUGAAGACCCUCCAGUGAUGACUGAGGUGGCACUGCAGACCAGGCGUCCUCUUCCCGAGUACAGGUCGGAAGGUGCCCAUCCCGUCGCCGAUGCGGGAGCGUUGGACUCGGCCGCCGCCCCCGACCGCAUCAGACAGCCCUGUUAUUCCAGAGCAAGGCUGGGGAGACAGAGGGUACGGAUCUCGUUAGGGGCGCCUCUGACACCAUCACCAUCAAUUGUCUUCUGCUGGGGCUGAUCACCACCUCAAUUAUCUGGUGUCCAGCCUACCUGAUAGGUUUCUGCAAACUAUAACUCUUCUGUCGAUGAGCGUGGAAUAAUGACAGCCGGGCAAAUGGACAGAAUACAAAAGAGAUAAGGCCAGAAGGAGAACACAGUGCAUCUCUGGGUACAGACCUGCGAGACGCUCCGGCACUGUGCGCUUUAACACAACAGAGCCCAUGGCUCCUCGGCAGGCUGGCUGAGCCUGAGCUCGCGGCCAAGCAGUGGAGACAGAGCCGUCGGCGCAAUCUGUCCCCAGUUAAUCACCCCACGGAAGUAUACCAAGGAUUAAAGAUAUUGUGAUGUGUCCAUGACAUAAAGAGACAGGCUUUUUCCUCAAAUCACUGCAUACACAAUUUGUAGUAAAAAUGACUUUAAAUAAAGGGUUUAAUAGUGACCCUUUAUUUAAGGGGAGAUACAUUUUUCUAAAUGAUUCCAAUUGAAAUUCAAUUUCAAAUUGAAAUCAUGAAUCAAGGAGAAAAGUAAAACACAGGGAAGAGAGUGCCGAGGCAUCAUAACAAUGUAUAUUUUUAGCCAUAUGCAGUGCCACACGCACACCAGGAGAAAAUAGAUUUUAGUGUGAUAUUAAUUGAAGUUUUCCCAGUUGUGGUUCAGGAGGUUAAUUUGAAAAGAAUACAUUACCAAUAUAUUUAUAGCAUUUAAAUAAAUUAAAAUUAUGCUUCAUACAUCAAUUACGCAGCUGUUAAAUAAUAUUUUUAUUCUAUGUAAAUCCCAUCCAUUCAUCUCCGUUGUGUAAUAAAUGACCAUAAUUACGGGGCUUCAUUGGGAGGAAGGUCAUUGGUAACCCUGUAAUUCCUCAUUGGUGUAAAGAGAGAAAACAGAGCC
This 1253-nucleotide long non-coding RNA is filed under the name Fukomys damarensis (Damara mole-rat). RNAcentral describes it as "lncRNA (ENSFDAG00000030456.1)". Lineage: Eukaryota; Metazoa; Chordata; Mammalia; Rodentia; Bathyergidae. The record is from RNAcentral.